AGCAGCCGCGGUAAUUCCAGCUCCAAUAGCGUAUAUUAAAGUUGUUGCAGUUAAAAAGCUCGUAGUUGAACUUCGGGGUUUACUCAUUGGUCAGGCUUAAUUGUCUGUACUGGUGAGAUGAAUCUCUACCUUCUGAGGAACUUUCAUGCCAUUUAUUUGGUGUGGUUGGAAAUCAGGACUGUUACUUUGAAAAAAUUAGAGUGUUUAAAGCAGGCUAACGUCUGAAUACAUUAGCAUGGAAUAAUGAAAUAGGACGGAUUGAUUCUAUUUCGUUGGUUUCUAGGGUCACCGUAAUGAUUAAUAGGGAUAGUUGGGGGCAUUAGUAUUCAAUUGUCAGAGGUGAAAUUCUUGGAUUUAUUGAAGACUAACUACUGCGAAAGCAUUUGCCAAGGAUGUUUUCAUUAAUCAAGAACGAAAGUUAGGGGAUCGAAGACGAUCAGAUACCGUCGUAGUCUUAACCAUAAACUAUGCCGACUAGGGAUCGGAUGAUGUUAAUUUUUUAAUGACUCAUUCGGCGCCU
This 520-nucleotide unclassified non-coding RNA is filed under the name uncultured Glomus. Its description in RNAcentral is "SSU rRNA". It matches the Rfam family "Eukaryotic small subunit ribosomal RNA", at positions 569 to 1088 of the family's 1831-position model. The record is from RNAcentral. Lineage: Eukaryota; Fungi; Glomeromycota; Glomeromycetes; Glomerales; Glomeraceae.